RNAcentral lists this ribosomal RNA (773 nucleotides) under uncultured bacterium. RNAcentral's name for it is "bacterial SSU rRNA". It matches the Rfam family "Bacterial small subunit ribosomal RNA", at positions 8 to 798 of the family's 1533-position model. The record is from RNAcentral.
AGAGUUUGAUCCUGGCUCAGGACGAACGCUGGCGGCGUGCUUAACACAUGCAAGUCGAACGGAAAGGCCCUUCGGGGUACUCGAGUGGCGAACGGGUGAGUAACACGUGGGUGAUCUGCCCUGCACUUUGGGAUAAGCCUGGGAAACUGGGUCUAAUACCGAAUAGGACCACGCGCUCCAUGGUGUGUGGUGGAAAGCUUUUGCGGUGUGGGAUGGGCCCGCGGCCUAUCAGCUUGUUGGUGGGGUAAUGGCCUACCAAGGCGACGACGGGUAGCCGGCCUGAGAGGGUGACCGGCCACACUGGGACUGAGAUACGGCCCAGACUCCUACGGGAGGCAGCAGUGGGGAAUAUUGCACAAUGGGCGCAAGCCUGAUGCAGCGACGCCGCGUGAGGGAUGACGGCCUUCGGGUUGUAAACCUCUUUCAAUAGGGACGAAGCGCAAGUGACGGUACCUAUAGAAGAAGCACCGGCCAACUACGUGCCAGCAGCCGCGGUAAUACGUAGGGUGCGAGCGUUGUCCGGAAUUACUGGGCGUAAAGAGCUCGUAGGUGGUUUGUCGCGUUGUUCGUGAAAACUCACAGCUUAACUGUGGGCGUGCGGGCGAUACGGGCAGACUAGAGUACUGCAGGGGAGACUGGAAUUCCUGGUGUAGCGGUGGAAUGCGCAGAUAUCAGGAGGAACACCGGUGGCGAAGGCGGGUCUCUGGGCAGUAACUGACGCUGAGGAGCGAAAGCGUGGGGAGCGAACAGGAUUAGAUACCCUGGUAGUCCAA